This 1189-nucleotide long non-coding RNA is filed under the name Sarcophilus harrisii (Tasmanian devil). RNAcentral's name for it is "lncRNA (ENSSHAG00000028218.1)". Lineage: Eukaryota; Metazoa; Chordata; Mammalia; Dasyuromorphia; Dasyuridae. The record is from RNAcentral.
GAUGGGCUUUUAUUUUUUAAGGGGGGAGGUCUUCAGGCAAUGGCAGCACCCCCUUUUUGCUGUCUACCAAGGAGAGCUGCAAGAGAAAGAAAGAGAGGGGAGCGAAAUUCCUGAAUGGAUAGACAGAUGCUACGUCAUCAGGGCUGCAGCCUCUACUCCACAAGAGGCUAGGAGCUGGGGGGGAGAGAAGCAGACCAGCCGUGGGGGCCUGAGAGACAGACACCUCCUCUUCACAGGAACUGGGCUUCGGACACCCCCCUGCGACCCCCCAGCCUCCGAAUUACAUGCCCGGUGUUGGGGGUGGGGCAUAGAGAAGGAGGGUUGGAGAACCCGACGCUGCAGAAGAGAAGCCAUCGACAGGAGAGGGAGCACAGAGGGAGAAGGAGAGGAGGGAGCCGGCAUCGUGGGGACCUGUCCGUCGUGGGUCCUUCAUUCAACCUGCCUGAUAAAUCGAAAUAUCAAGCCGGCACUCGUGAGCUCCUCGCUUCUUCGAGCCAGAUUCAUUCCUGGCUCGAGAUUGAGAUCAUAGAAACCUAAGAUCAGGAGCUGAAAGGGCCCUUUGAGAUCCUCUAGCUCAAUUCAUUAUUUUUACAGAAGAGGAAACUGGGAUUGGGGAUGAGAGUGGACGAAGGACUGCGAGAUGGACCAGAACUGGCUUCCUAUUUGAUUUGGUCUUGGCAUUCCUCUUCCUUCUCUUCAUUCUGCAGCACAACUCAGCACGUUUGAUAUUGGUAUUCAGCACAUUGGACAGCGCCAGGAUGAGAAUCAUCCCUGUAACAAAGAUUUUAAAAGGAAGAAGAGGAAUAAAAAUCAGUUAAUCAAAGCCAGCCUUCACAUCUGUUCUGACAUUAUGUGCAAUACUCCAUAUCCAUGGUAUUCUACUUCUACAAAAAAAAGGGAACAGAACAAUAAGAGGACUUAAAGGACAAGGGGCCAAUAGCAUACAGAGGGAGAAGCCUUAACACAAUUGGCCUCCAUGUACCUGAAGCAGCCUUCCAGGAUUGACUGGAGGACAGAUAACGCCAGCUACUAAUCCCAGGGAGAGAGAAAGUGAAGAGAUCUUCCUGUCACCCUCUCCACUGAUAUCCACCCUCCUCCAGGAAGUUUGUCAGGAUUCAUAGAGCAUCAGCCCUUGAAUUGCCUGGUUCCUGUCCGGGAUAAAAGUAUUUGACCUUCAUGUAUACUUAUU